UACGGAGGGUGCAAGCAUUGAUCGGAAUUACUGGGCGUAAAGGGCGCGUAGGCGGCCAAGAAAGUUAGAUGUGAAAUUCCGGGGCUCAACCCCGGAGCUGCAUUUAAAACUCCAUGGCUAGAGUACAGUUAGGGAAAACGGAAUUCCACGUGUAGCGGUGAAAUGCGUAGAUAUGUGGAAGAACACCGGUGGUGAAGACGGUUUUCUGGGCUGAAACUGACGCUGAGGCGCGAAAGCUAGGGGAGCAAACAGG
This 253-nucleotide ribosomal RNA is filed under the name uncultured bacterium. RNAcentral's name for it is "partial 16S ribosomal RNA". It matches the Rfam family "Bacterial small subunit ribosomal RNA", at positions 524 to 776 of the family's 1533-position model. The record is from RNAcentral.